This 840-nucleotide ribosomal RNA is filed under the name uncultured eukaryote. RNAcentral describes it as "SSU rRNA". It matches the Rfam family "Eukaryotic small subunit ribosomal RNA", at positions 635 to 1426 of the family's 1831-position model. The record is from RNAcentral.
CGGUGUUCAACUGGCGUGCCCGCGGGACGUCCUGCCGGUGAGCUCAGCCCGCGAGGGCGGCUCAACUUGAAAUCCCAUCGCGGUGCUCUUCAUUGAGUGUCGAGGUGGGCCGGCACGAUUACUUUUGAACAAAUUAGAGUGCUUAAAGCAGGCUAAAAUUUUGCCUGAAUACUGUGUAUAUGGAAUAAUGGAAUAGGACCUCGGUUCUAUUUUGUUGGUUUUCGGAACCCCGAGGUAAUGAUUAAUAGGAACGGAUGGGGGCAUUCGUAUUGCGACGUUAGAGGUGAAAUUCUUGGAUCGUCGCAAGACGGACUAAAGCGAAAGCAUUUGCCAAAAACGCUUUCAUUGAUCAAGAACGAAAGUUAGAGGUUCGAAGGCGAUCAGAUACCGCCCUAGUUCUAACCAUAAACUAUGCCAGCUAGCGAUCCGCCGACGUCCCUCUGAUGACUCGGCGGGCAGCUUCCGGGAAACCAAAGCUUUUGGGUUCCGGGGGAAGUAUGGUUGCAAAGCUGAAACUUAAAGGAAUUGACGGAAGGGCACCACCAGGAGUGGGAGCCUGCGGCUUAAUUUGACUCAACACGGGAAACCUCACCAGGCCCAGACACUGGAAGGAUUGACAGAUUGAGAGCUCUUUCUUGAUUCAGUGGGUGGUGGUGCAUGGCCGUUCUUAGUCGGUGGAGCGAUUUGUCAGGUUAAUUCCGAUAACGGACGAGACUCUGACCUGAUAACUAGACGCACUUGCGGCAUCUCAAAGGUCCGCCGGCGGCUGGCUUUGCGCCCGUCGUCGCGCGCGAUUUUUACUGCCGGCGUACAAUAAAUUCUUCUUAGAGGGACAAGUGG